ACGUACCUACGGGACGCAGCAGUGAGGAAUAUUGGUCAAUGGGCGGAAGCCUGAACCAGCCAAGUCGCGUGAGGGAAUAAGGCCCUACGGGUCGUAAACCUCUUUUGCCGGGGAGCAAGGGCCGGGACGCGUCCCGGCCCGGAGAGUACCCGGAGAAAAAGCAUCGGCUAACUCCGUGCCAGCAGCCGCGGUAAUACGUAGGGGGCAAGCGUUAUCCGGAAUUACUGGGUGUAAAGGGUGAGUAGGCGGCAUGGUAAGCCAGAUGUGAAAGCCUUGGGCUUAACCCGAGGAUUGCAUUUGGAACU
This 305-nucleotide ribosomal RNA is filed under the name uncultured bacterium. RNAcentral's name for it is "bacterial SSU rRNA". It matches the Rfam family "Bacterial small subunit ribosomal RNA", at positions 331 to 634 of the family's 1533-position model. The record is from RNAcentral.